Molecule: small RNA, 935 nt
Filed under: Histoplasma capsulatum var. duboisii H88
Lineage: Eukaryota; Fungi; Ascomycota; Eurotiomycetes; Onygenales; Ajellomycetaceae
Description: Histoplasma capsulatum H88 hypothetical RNA
Source: RNAcentral
GCAUGAUUUUUGAUUCUUAGAGACUUCGCUUCACUCUGUCUCAUUAGCUUUCCCACCUAGAAAGCAAGUUUUCACGAAGCCGACGAUUGUUUCGGCGCCAGCGCUGCAGGCCCCGCCACUAUUUCGAGUCUACGCCGACUCAUAGCAGGACGCCGCCGAGGAUCCUCAUUUAAUUACGCUGGCCCCGCGUGAAAUAGCGAUAUGAUCAGGUUUGCUGUGGCGGAAAGGGAAAAAAAAUGAAUAGUAACUACUCUGUACUGUUUACCGCAGAAACAAAGGAGAAUACUACCAUGAAAUGGAUCUUUGCUUGGAUUAUGCAGAUAGAUAUAUAGCUAUGAUUUCCCUUGGAAUAAAUCAAGUAUUUAACCAAAAAAAAUAAAAUAAAAUAAAAAGGGAGAAAAAGGAAAAAGGAUAAAGGAAAAAGGCCCCCAUAAUCCACCAAAGUUCACAGUCUACAGAACACUGCUGUUGCUGAUGAUAGCCCACCAUACUGCCGUGUAUACAGGCAUAUCCGGCUCACUGUCUCCUGAUCUCCCUGAAAUCAAGCAAGGAAUCUCCCUAGUCUCCAUCCUGCGACCCGGGUAUCCUGGAUAAGCAGGCCUGGGGGAGAAAACGAGAAUGCGGAGGAAAUACGGCGUUGCAAAACUUCAUUACUGAGUAGAGAGGUCACCAAUCUAUGUAUUGUCCAGUUCUUUUUCUCUUCCCCUUCCUGCACUGUGCUCAUGUUGCUUACACCAUUCAGGACAUUCAAAAAUGCCGCGCUUUUGAAACCAAUAUCAAACACUUCACUGUUGCAUCUCUUUCUCCUUGCCUUUUUCUCUUUCUUUCUUUCUUUCCUUUUUUCUAAAAACAUUUAUUUCCUCUCUUUGUCACCAUCUUCUCUAUUUCGUCCAUUGCAUGAAUUAAAACUAUUGCUUAAACUAAUAUAUAUGCAU